RNAcentral lists this unclassified non-coding RNA (235 nucleotides) under Hevea brasiliensis (rubber tree). Lineage: Eukaryota; Viridiplantae; Streptophyta; Magnoliopsida; Malpighiales; Euphorbiaceae. The record is from RNAcentral.
GAUCUCGGCCAUCGACGCAGGCUUCACGCGGGCGCUGGCGACCAUUCUGGACUCCAACAUCACCACGUUCAUCGCCGCCGCCGUGCUGUUCUAUAUCGGCACCGGCCCGGUGCGUGGUUUCGCCGUGACGCUCGGCAUCGGCAUCAUCACCACGGUUUUCACGGCGUUCACCGUCACGCGGCUGAUCGUCGCGAUGUGGGUGGCCUGGAAGCGGCCCAAGACCGUGCCGAUUUGA